RNAcentral lists this ribosomal RNA (397 nucleotides) under uncultured Choanoflagellida. RNAcentral's name for it is "partial small subunit ribosomal RNA". It matches the Rfam family "Eukaryotic small subunit ribosomal RNA", at positions 30 to 432 of the family's 1831-position model. The record is from RNAcentral. Lineage: Eukaryota; Choanoflagellata.
GCUUGUCUCAAAGAUUAAGCCAUGCAUGUCUUAGUGUAAAUAACUCUUAUGAAACUGCGAAUGGCUCAUUAAAUCAGUUAUCAAAUACGUGAUGGUCGCCUACUACAUGGAUAACCGUGGUAAUUCUAGAGCUAAUACAUGCGAAAAAGCCCGACUUCUGGAAGGGUUGUAUUUAUUAGAUAAAAAACCAAUCGGGGCAACCCGUUUGUGGUGAUUCAUAAUAACUUUGCGAAUCGUAUGGCCUUGUGCCGACGAUGAAUCAUUCAAAUUUCUGCCCUAUCAACUUUCGAUGGUAAGGUAUUGGCUUACCAUGGUUGCAACGGGUGACGGGGAAUUAGGGUUCGAUUCCGGAGAGGGAGCCUGAGAAAUGGCUACCACAUCCAAGGAAGGCAGCAGG